Molecule: ribosomal RNA, 492 nt
Filed under: uncultured bacterium
Lineage: Bacteria
Description: partial 16S ribosomal RNA
Rfam family: Bacterial small subunit ribosomal RNA
Source: RNAcentral
AGUGAACGCUGGCGGUAGGCCUAACACACGCAAGUCGAACGGCAGCACAGUAAGAGCUUGCUCUUACGGGUGGCGAGUGGCGGACGGGUGAGGAAUACAUCGGAAUCUACUUUUUCGUGGGGGAUAACGUAGGGAAACUUACGCUAAUACCGCAUACGACCUACGGGUGAAAGCAGGGGAUCUUCGGACCUUGCGCGAUUGAAUGAGCCGAUGUCGGAUUAGCUAGUUGGCGGGGUAAGGGCCCACCAAGGCGACGAUCCGUAGCUGGUCUGAGAGGAUGAUCAGCCACACUGGAACUGAGACACGGUCCAGACUCCUACGGGAGGCAGCAGUGGGGAAUAUUGGACAAUGGGCGCAAGCCUGAUCCAGCCAUACCGCGUGGGUGAAGAAGGCCUUCGGGUUGUAAAGCCCUUUUGUUGGGAAAGAAAAGCAGCAGGUUAAUACCCCGCUGUUCUGACGGUACCCAAAGAAUAAGCACCGGCUAACUUCGUG